CUGGGGCACCGGCCAGCCGGGGGGACAGGGGAUUUGUCUUUUUCCUUCUUCCCCUCAUCCUGAGUUGCCUGGCGCCGUUUUAAGCGAGGUAAAAUUCAGCGCAUCUAGCAAAGGUAAUAAGCCUCGAAGAGCGGGGCUGUUUUAAAAAGGUGAGGCCUUCUGAUCAAAAUGUCCUUUAUGCCAAAUGAAGGGAAAUCAGGAAAUGAAAGAUAAGGACGUUUAAUUUUGGUGUUGAUUUAAGGAAGACAACAUACCCAUGAUUAAGUUGUUUUUCAUGAUUGAAAAACAACUGCUGAACAGAAAUUUCUUCAAACUGCAUUUCAAAGUUAACAUUUCAAAGAGAACAGCAGCAAUGCCCUGUACACACAAGAAAACAGGAGAAUUCCUGAGCCAGAGCUGUCACCUUCUAUUUUGCUCUUCUGUUUUCAACAUUAGUACUUCCCCAGUAAGCUGUGCAUCAUUAAGUAAAUGCUACAAAAUUCACAAACAUUGAAACAGUUACUACGCAGCUCUGCCAUAGCUAAUUUCCUGCGAUGCAUGCUGGAGAUUUAUGAGUACACAGGUGAUGCUCUUUGAAAUACCAGUUGCACUCCUCCUCUACACCAUUGUUUAAAAAACCUGCUUGGUAAUCCAUGGAUAAACCAAAGCAAUCCACUGUAGGCGGGCCAACAUCCUGGGAAGACCCUGAUUGGUUCCGGGCAGUUUAAGAACUUCACGUGGAAAUCCUUGAAAAAUGCAGAGCCCAGACAAGAAAAAGGAUAUUCGAGCUGGUUGGUGGCAUACUUUGUGCAUUCUGGAAAGCCCUGCUGUAAGAGGUGAACUCAGUCUCUUUGAGCUGUUCAAUGUUUCUGCUUUAAAGAGAGAAGACACCACUGCUAAGUGUUUGGAUUCUACUCCUACAUAUUUUUUACUGCAUCAUGUGUGAGGAGUCAUCUGAAUUCAUAAACCACUCUUCUUCACCACUUCCUAUUUCCAGGAAGCUCCAAGAAUCACCAUCACAUAUGACGGAGGCCUGCUUUCUUGGGGAUGGACGAGCUCUUUCCUACCCAUGGGAGGGCUGUGCUGCUGAUCAUGUUAUUCUGCUGGGCCUGGGAUUCUGAUAACAGCCGUGGUGAUGUGCGUGGGCUGGCAGAUGGCCAGGGCAUCUCUGCUCAUUCUGUGCUACAGUACUGGGCAGGCUGGAACUCCACCGCAAAAUCAACUGAGAGGCACUGUGUCCUGUGAGUGAGUGCACACGGCAGGGAGCAGGGCACCCCAAAGCGUCUGUGGCCACGGAUAUGCCUGUGCCACAGUACGUACAUCUUGAUGUACCUGUGGCCAUGGUUGUGUGUGUACACCGCAGAUACACCUCUGAGAGGGCUGUGGCCCAGGGAUUAAUCCAUGCUGCAGCAAGAACCCCUUGAAGCGUGCAUGAGGUCAUGUUGGAGCACCUCAAUGUGUGUGGCCGGGGAGAGUAGGUAUGUCUCAUGAGGGAGCAUUCAGCCAUGGGUAAGGCUAUGUUGGAGCAGGUUUGCUCCUGAAAGGAUGGUAGCUGUGGGUGAGGAACCCUUCCUACUCCUUUCCCUGCUCUGUAUACUGAGCGUGAUGCCAUAUGGUCUGGAAUAUCCCUUUGGUCAUUUGGGGCCAGCUGUCCCAGCUUUGUCCUCUCCCAGAUCCUUGUGCAUCCCCAGGCCACUCACUGGUUGGGUGCUGUGAGGAGCACAAAAGGCCUGACACUGCUUAAGCCCUGCUCAGCAGUACUAAAAGCAUCCUUGUAUAAUCAUCACUGUUUCCAACACAAAUUCAAAAGACAGCCCCUCUAGAUAACUCUAUCCCAGAAAAAAACUGGAACAGCAUGGAUAUGGUCUUCAUUAUUAGUAUGUUGAAUAAUUUAAUUGCUAAUGAUAAUAAGCAAACACACUGCAUAUAAAUCAUAGUGUUUAAGGAGCAGAAACUGUUUAUAUUACCUGAGUAAUAUAUUCUUGUGGAAUAUAUUGAGCAAAAUUAAUCAAACUUCUUUAAAUUAACUACAGCAACAAGUUUCCAGUAGCCAAUAUUAAAGAGGACGUCUAAAGUUAAUAUUCAGAAAGCAAAAUUCUUAGUGAUAAGUAAAUGCUACAAGUGCUUAAUUUGGGAGUGUUACUUACUGGCACUCAGUAUACUGGGGAACAAAAUAUGAGCAUAUACAUAAUGGUCCAUAUUCUUCAUGAGAGUCAAUACCACAAGGUAAAAUGCCAUCUAGACCGGUAUAACUCUGUAACUAUUGCAGUUUGCUGUCUUACCAUGAACUAGCCUGACUUUGGGAUUUAGCUGUAAAAGAUGCAAAGUAUGUGCUUUACCCUCAACUGUUAGUAUUUGCUCUCUAUUAAGCCUCAAAGAUCAUCUGAGAUUUCUGUUUAACCUGCAGUGGGUUAAAUAUUACUUGCUACCACAUGUGUUUUGAAAUAGCCUUGGUACUAUUAUUAUAUAUUGUGAUAAGUUGUAAUGAAAACAUUAAUUAAAAAAACCCACAUUUCAAUGUUUUUAAAAACAUUUAAUAAUAAAUGAUUAAUUUUAAAGGU
This is a long non-coding RNA of Passer domesticus (house sparrow), 2540 nucleotides long. RefSeq lists it as uncharacterized. The transcript is spliced from 6 exons. Lineage: Eukaryota; Metazoa; Chordata; Aves; Passeriformes; Passeridae. The record is from RefSeq and is a predicted model, not a curated record.